Long non-coding RNA from Ursus maritimus (polar bear), 425 nucleotides. NCBI's taxonomy places the organism in Eukaryota, Metazoa, Chordata, Mammalia, Carnivora, Ursidae. The record is from Ensembl.
CACCUGCCAACCAAUGCGUCAUGGCCGCAUGCCGUCGCAGCUGCUGGGGCAGUGUCAUCAACGGCCUUAACAAAAUCUACGGAGUCCGCACGGCAGGGCGCUGGAAGGAGCCAUUUUAAAACGAAACGCUCCACAAUGUAGAAGACCCACACAGCCUCUAGGAGGAAGGGGACCAUUCACUGGUCGUGGAGGCUCCCACACAGGCUGGGACCCAAAUGCAGCUUAGAAACUCAUGGAUUCUUACGAUUUCAUUGCUCUUCACCUCACCCCAUGUCACCGGUGAAGACAGCCUGGUACAAGAUACAAGACUAGCAUUGGAAGGCAUACCAUUCCAGGUGGUGCUGGAGUUUGAAAGAAGGUACAUACGCUUUCCCCUUUAUAUUAUUAUUUUCAGUAUUAUUUAUUUACUCUUUAUUAUCUUAUGA